UUUAAAGUGGCAGAGUAGUGCACUAGAUUUAAGGCCUAGAUAUAAAAGUUUUCUUUUCUUUAUAG
Molecule: transfer RNA, 65 nt
Filed under: Thylacodes sp. New Zealand-TAR
Lineage: Eukaryota; Metazoa; Mollusca; Gastropoda; Littorinimorpha; Vermetidae
Description: tRNA-Leu
Source: RNAcentral